RNAcentral lists this unclassified non-coding RNA (345 nucleotides) under soil metagenome. RNAcentral describes it as "partial contains 5.8S ribosomal RNA, internal transcribed spacer 2, and large subunit ribosomal RNA". The stretch from base 1 to 120 matches the Rfam family "5.8S ribosomal RNA", at positions 35 to 154 of the family's 154-position model. The record is from RNAcentral.
GAUGAAGAACGUAGCGAAAUGCGAUACGUAGUGUGAAUUGCAGAAUUCAGUGAAUCAUCGAGUCUUUGAACGCACAUUGCGCCCCCUGGUAUUCCGGGGGGCAUGCCUGUCCGAGCGUCAUUGCUGCCCUCAAGCACGGCUUGUGUGUUGGGCCUCCGUCCUCCUCCCGGGGGACGGGCCCGAAAGGCAGCGGCGGCACCGCGUCCGGUCCUCGAGCGUAUGGGGCUUCGUCACCCGCUCUUGUAGGCCCGGCCGGCGCUUGCCGACACAUCAAUCUUUUUUCCAGGUUGACCUCGGAUCAGGUAGGGAUACCCGCUGAACUUAAGCAUAUCAAUAAGCGGAGGA